Molecule: ribosomal RNA, 497 nt
Filed under: uncultured bacterium
Lineage: Bacteria
Description: partial 16S ribosomal RNA
Rfam family: Bacterial small subunit ribosomal RNA
Source: RNAcentral
GAUGAACGCUGGCGGCGUGCCUAAUACAUGCAAGUCGAGCGAACAGACGAGGAGCUUGCUCCUCUGACGUUAGCGGCGGACGGGUGAGUAACACGUGGAUAAACUACCUAUAAGACUGGGAUAACUUCGGGAAACCGGAGCUAAUACCGGAUAAUAUAUUGAACCGCAUGGUUCAAUAGUGGAAGAAGGUUUUGCUGUCACUUAUAGAUGGAUCAGCGCAUCAUUAGUUAGUUGGUAAGGUAACUGCUUACCAAGGCAACGAGGCGUAGCCGACCUGAGAGGGACGAUGGACAGACGGUCUCUGAGAAUGGGCCGCGACACUUAGAGGGGGCAGCGGUAGAGAAUCUUCCGCAAGGGGGGAGUGCCUGACGUUGCAACGUGGCCUGAGGGAUGAUGCACUUCUGCUCGUAAAGCUCUGUUGUUAUGGGAGAAGUAAUGUGUAAUUAACUAUGCUCGUCUUGACGGUACCUAAUCAGAAAGCCACGGCUAACUACGUG